RNAcentral lists this ribosomal RNA (958 nucleotides) under human gut metagenome. RNAcentral's name for it is "bacterial SSU rRNA". It matches the Rfam family "Bacterial small subunit ribosomal RNA", at positions 8 to 986 of the family's 1533-position model. The record is from RNAcentral.
AGAGUUUGAUUCUGGCUCAGAACGAACGCUGGCGGCGUGGAUAAGACAUGCAAGUCGAACGAGAGAAUUGCUAGCUUGCUAAUAAUUCUCUAGUGGCGCACGGGUGAGUAACACGUGAGUAACCUGCCCCCGAGAGCGGGAUAGCCCUGGGAAACUGGGAUUAAUACCGCAUAGUAUCGAAAGAUUAAAGCAGCAAUGCGCUUGGGGAUGGGCUCGCGGCCUAUUAGUUAGUUGGUGAGGUAACGGCUCACCAAGGCGAUGACGGGUAGCCGGUCUGAGAGGAUGUCCGGCCACACUGGAACUGAGACACGGUCCAGACACCUACGGGUGGCAGCAGUCGAGAAUCAUUCACAAUGGGGGAAACCCUGAUGGUGUGACGCCGCGUGGGGGAAUGAAGGUCUUCGGAUUGUAAACCCCUGUCAUGUGGGAGCAAAUUAAAAAGAUAGUACCACAAGAGGAAGAGACGGCUAACUCUGUGCCAGCAGCCGCGGUAAUACAGAGGUCUCAAGCGUUGUUCGGAAUCACUGGGCGUAAAGCGUGCGUAGGCUGUUUCGUAAGUCGUGUGUGAAAGGCGCGGGCUCAACCCGCGGACGGCACAUGAUACUGCGAGACUAGAGUAAUGGAGGGGGAACCGGAAUUCUCGGUGUAGCAGUGAAAUGCGUAGAUAUCGAGAGGAACACUCGUGGCGAAGGCGGGUUCCUGGACAUUAACUGACGCUGAGGCACGAAGGCCAGGGGAGCGAAAGGGAUUAGAUACCCCUGUAGUCCUGGCAGUAAACGGUGCACGCUUGGUGUGCGGGGAAUCGACCCCCUGCGUGCCGGAGCUAACGCGUUAAGCGUGCCGCCUGGGGAGUACGGUCGCAAGAUUAAAACUCAAAGAAAUUGACGGGGACCCGCACAAGCGGUGGAGUAUGUGGCUUAAUUCGAUGCAACGCGAAGAACCUUACCUGGGCUUGACA